RNA transcript from Schistocerca serialis cubense, 5510 nucleotides. It is a transcript of the gene named protein hairless-like, with no coding region annotated. The record is from RefSeq and is a predicted model, not a curated record. The transcript has 5 exons. Lineage: Eukaryota; Metazoa; Arthropoda; Insecta; Orthoptera; Acrididae.
GGCGUUAGGUUACUUGCCUUAUCAUUGAAGGAUGUAAAGUUAUACAUUUAUAUGAUGUGCCCUAGUUAGUUCUUUCGUAUACCGACAGAUUUCGUGUUUAGAUAUGGUACGAAAACAAUAAACAGAACGAUUUUCAUUCAUUCGCAGCAGGUGGAGGAAUGAACAUGGAGUAAAGAAGAAACAUUACUACAUACCAGACGAUGGAGCUGUGCUUCGUAGCAGCCCGACGUCGGGGCAGCUAUUAUUCUGUUUAUUUAAGGCCGAAGUGAUUACCGUAAUGUAGUGGAAUAAAAGAGAUGCGAGUGCAAGAAAAUUCAUUUGCAUCAUGUGCCAAAAUGACCGAGGAAAGAAGCGUGAAUGGAGGUCCAGAUAUUCCCAGUGGCAGCAAAAGAGGGUAUUCAGCCGGAGAUAUCGACGGAACCCAAAGUCCCAAUUCUUCAACCAGCGAAGCUGAUAAAUCUUGCGGUAUCGCAGGUGGUAGACUGAAAUUUUUUAAGGAUGGUAAAUUCAUAUUGGAAUUAUCACACCGAACUGAAGGAGAUCGAACGUCAUGGGUUCCAGUGCCCAAAAAAACAUACUGGCCUCCUCCUGCAACUACUGCUACUAGUACUGGUACUCCACGCCAGGAGAGCUCAACCUCACUUAGUGUGUCAGAUGACAACUCAUCUGUCCAGUCAUCACCUUGGCAGCGAGAUCACUGUUGGAAGCAGACCAACCCUCGGCAAGGCAUUGGUAAAGAAAUGACUUUUGUGAUGCAGUCAUUUCCACACAUGAGGCAUCUAAGGAGUCUUCAUUCUGUGUUUCACUGUAUACAAAAGAAGCGUAGAUGCCCUUACGUACCUAUAGAAGUGUCAGUGGAGAAUCACAGUGGUGUAAUAAGUGCACACGUAAGAGGUGGAAAGAAAGAGCGAAACAGAAUAAAAUUGUUGGAUAUAGUACAAACUUUGUUAGAUAGAGUGAAAGGCUCAAGUAGUAGUAAUGAAAGCACUGUUUGCUCUAAUGCAAGUGGGGCUAUUCCACCAAAUCACGUGCGGACAGUAACUGUAGCAACGGCAAGACUGGAUCCUAGCAUUAUAUCCCCUAGGAAGAGAAUACUUCGUGAAAUGGAGAGAGUUAGUCUUGAGGACAUGUCGAACUCUAAACGACAGCGAGCUCGUACCAGUAGUGCCUUGCCACAGAACAAUAACAAUGGUAGCAGUGGAAAUUGUACUGUUACGUGCCAAACUCUCCAACCUGGCAGUGCACUUCCGUCUCCUCCCCAGCCUAGUGUCAAAGGCAGUGUGAGUAAUUACAGUAUUACCUCGCUCCUGGGAAAUAGUCGAAAUGAAGACGUACAAACACCUGGACCUCAAGAUACAGACACAUCAUUCCUACGUACUCUCCUGAAGUCUUCAGCGCAACAGACUAGCAAUGUUGAACAGACUCCCAGACCCAAAGCGGCUUCAAAGCCUGCUGGAUCGAGGAAAUCGUCACCCACACAGCAACAGCAGCAGUCACCUCAACAACUGCCACAAACGCAGCACUCCCAAAACCAGUCACCUACACAGCAGCAGCAGCAGCAGCAGCAGCUGUCGUCCCCAUCGCGGCUCAGCUCUCCUGCUCUCUCACCAUCACCAGAUAAUCUUCGCUCUGGACUUAGAAAUCCAGUUGUUCCGUCCAUUGGCAGCUCUGCACACCUCUCUCCAUUCCUUACACCUCCACUGAUAUAUCCACAGCUUUCAUCUCCCUUUUUACCUCAUCCUCCUCCGACAUUAAGUCAUCAUCCUUACUAUUCCAGCCCUCCACCUGUAUCUGCAUAUCGUGGAUCUCCAUCACCAGUUCCAACUUUGUGGGUACAAUACCCACUUUCUAGUCUUCCAAGGGGGGCAGUUCACUACGGACUAGUGGCUCCCUGCCAUGCACCACCUCUUAGUCCGUGCCAUUACAGCCCACUAACGCAACAACCACUGGAAGAGCUGAAGAAAGAAGAUAAUGGUUCAGAUGUUCCUCUGAAUUUGUCCAAACAUUCUGGCUGAAGACUGGCUGAUGUUGCCCACAGCUGAAAAACUGCUGUGCUGGAUAUAUGGUGCAAUCUCUACAAGUGAUUCUAUUUGUUUUCCCCCCACCCCAAAAAAGUUGAGGCUGCAAGACAUUUGAGAGAUCACUUAAAAUGUGAAAGGAAUGUAUUCUAAGGAUAGAAUUAUUCUAAAUUUUAUUUUGUUUGUCAUUUUGAAAAUAAACUAUAGAAACAUUCUAACAUUUACCACAACAAGCAGCAAGAAACACUCAGAGCAAUGUGUACAGAUGAAUGUUUAAAUAUUUUGCUAAUAGAGUUAGAUACACUUCAGUCUGAUUUAAUUUUUGAUCAUUUUGUAAUUUCUGCUGCUGCAGUAUGUUGUUAUUUUGAUGGUGAUUAACAACUAAUAAGAGAAAUUAGUAUAAUAGUUCAACCUGGAUGUAAUACAAACAAUGAUGAAGAGCACAUUAUGAUUGCCCGCUCCCCCUCCACACACACACGCGCGCGCGCGCACACACACACACACACACACACACACACACACACACACACACACACACACACACACACAAAACACUGGGGCUCAAAAUAGGUGUAUACCUGUUUUGAAUGUAGGAUCUUUCGCAUUUUGUUCACCUAUGUUGGUUUCACAAAAUCAUGGCAAUCAAGUGCAACUGAUUGUUUGAAUCCUGGUAGGCAGAUAUGUGACCUUUACAAUUUUUAUGAUGAAGAAAGUAGUAGUACACAGUUGCACAUCACGUGAGCUGCACUUCAGUGCCCAAAGUAAAUUCCAAACCUCUCUCCAAAGCCUUGUUUGGUGUGUUAAUAAAUUAAGCAAAAGGUAUGUGUCAGCACUGCCUUUCAAUAUUUUCAUUGUCACAUGACACAGUCAGACAUCUAAAUUAUACUUUUAAAUAUCUGAAAUGUCAUUCACAGGUGAGAGAAAUAAGAUGGUGAACUGGAACCUUCCAUAGAAAGAAGAGUAAGAUUUUCACAUUGCUGCCGAAAGCUCAUUGUUAUCCAUGGGUCAGUCAAUUUUUCUCCAUCUUAGUCUGCAUGUAACAGAAAUAAUUUGUUGUUAGAUAUUCCUUCACACCUGGUGUAAAAAGUAUUAUUAGAAAAGUGGUGUAGUCAGUAUGAGUCUUGAUGUAAGCUGUGCUACUCACAGAUUAGGUACCAGAGAACUCAGUCCUGCUUAAAUGGGUGGAUUUCAUAAAUGAUAGAACUAGUAAAGUAAGUAGUAGGGCAUGUAUGGCUGGGAUACCUCAAAGGGCAAGUUCAUUCUAUCCGCCAUGCCCAAAGGCACCUUUCCUUCACGAAGUAUGAGAAUUGUGUGUAAGUGUAUCUGUUGAGGGUACGUGAUUGUUAUGGUGUGUGUGUGUGUGUGUGUGUGUGUGUGUGUGUGUGUGUGUAGAUGAUGUGGGUGAAACCCAGUGCCAAUGCACAGCCUAAAACUUUCAAAGUGCACUAAGGGGGCAACCGAGCUUAACAUACCUGUCUGACAGACAUAUCCCCAUCAACAGUGUCACAUGCCCUCAUGAUACAAGGCAGAGAGAUUUGGAACUGAAUUGAGGGUGUUGGUGCAAAGCAUGGUGAUCAAGAACUUCAUGCCACCACCUCCCCUUUUUGGCCAAAUAGUAGUAGUGUAAAUUUCAUCCACCACCAGGAUUCGAAGCUGCUUACCUCUGAGUCAAGCACCACCACACAAGUGUGUGUUAGGAACCUCAGCUACAGAGGUGGGUAAGACAGAACUGAGAAAUAGUUAUGUGUAAUUCACCCUGUCAAAUUGGCAGUCAGUGUUAGUGUCACUUUUUCAAAUUACAGAUUGACAAGCAUGAAUGUCAUGCUACAUUAAAAAAGAGAAAUAAGUGUAUUUAAUGAAAUAUACUGUAAUUGCUCAUCAUUCCACUAGCACUCUCCUACAGGAAAGUGAAGACUGCUGUAGGUUGUCUGCUUAUUCCUGAUCCCUAUUUUUAGUGCUGCGUUACCACAGAUGAUUUUGUUGUUGUUUGGUUAUUUAUUAUUAACGUACCACAUGAGUAAACACAAUAUUGUUAGUAUGAUUUUAUUCUGCAGAGAUUCUUGAAAUUUUCUGCAUGUUCUUUAAAAGUGAGCUGAGUAAUUAUAUCUUGCAGCUGUAUUAUUAGGACUGAAAAAAACUGAAUUGCAAAAUUGCCUCUUUUUAAUAAUGAAUUAAGUUUAAUCGUUAGCUAAUGGUCUAAGAAUGUUCUUGGAGGUCCUGGUAUUGUGGAAAGCUAUAAAGAAUUCCUUAAUAUUACUUCUUUUGCAAUGAUGUACAUCAAUUUUGACAGUUGGGUAGCAUACUGGAAAAUUCCAUUACUUAUUACUGUUUCUGUGAUUUUGUUUAAGAGGAAAGAAGUAAGUUUGUUACUGCAAAUACAUUUGCUAUCUUAUACAAUAGUGAUGACAAGACUGUAUUAAUACCAAUUGUUGUGGGAAUUGCCCAUGAACAUGCUAAAAUUAACUUGUAAACCAAAAUCAUAUUCCAGGAAUUACUAUACUUACAGAAUGGAAAGUAAAGAAACUUGUGUAGUGUGUGAAGAUGAUGGUGAUGACUUAGGAGUUUUCUUGCUGUAUACUGAAUUCUUAUAUCAAGAUGUUACUUUAUCAUUAUCCAACAAUCUACUAUGAAAAUUCAAAAUUAUAUAUUUUUAUUUAUUACUGUGAAUGCUGCAUUACGUGUCUUUUGGAUGUUGCUUGAUUUUUUAAAAAUUGUAUGUUAUUUUUGUGAAUAUAUUUAAUAUUCAGUUAAGGUUGAUAUAUUUGACUGAGAAUAACUUCAUCCAGGAAUAAGAGCCUUGGUCCAGCUGACAUUGUAGUCACUGGCAUGUACCACUAUUAAUGUCUUCCUGUUUUAUUUGAAAAAUCAGUACUAAUAGGAGCUCAGAAUCACAGUCACCAUGAGAUUUCAGUGUGUCAUACUGCCUUAAUUUCAUAGACACUUAGUUUUUCAUAGUAUAGAUGUUGCAAUACUUAUGUGGUGUGAAAAAUUAAUAUUUAAAAGUAUUCCUGUCUCAUACAAUAGGAACAUAUUUCCUUCAGAUUUUCCUGUUUAACUGUGGCCUUAUAUCAUCUCAUUGAUUUUAAAUGGACUAAAUUGUUGAUGUGAGAGGCAUUACUGUUAUACUAUCAUAACAUUUUCCGAAAGUUCUUCAGGACUAUUUUUAAAACCUUUUUCUUUAAAAUGUGUGUAUACUUCUAAUAUUACGUGGCAGAUUAUGUACAUAUUAUCAGUUGUUAAAACCAAGCUGUCACUUUUAGAAUGGGCAGCAAGUAAUGAACAGAAUUUCGUAAUAGUCAUGAGCGAUUGCAGAGUUGUAACUGAACUGCCAUGUGAGAAACUGUGCCAUUUAUGACCUAUUUUGAUAACUGCUUCUUCUUCAAGUAUUUAUUGUGAUACAGUUUAUGAAUGUAAGAAUGACUUGUAAAUAGGCUGAAAUAUCUCAGUAUGUAUGAAGAUAUCUACUUUAAUAAAUGUUGCAUUUUACACACA